RNAcentral lists this ribosomal RNA (402 nucleotides) under uncultured Methanosaeta sp. RNAcentral describes it as "bacterial SSU rRNA". It matches the Rfam family "Archaeal small subunit ribosomal RNA", at positions 938 to 1338 of the family's 1478-position model. Lineage: Archaea; Methanobacteriati; Methanobacteriota; Methanomicrobia; Methanotrichales; Methanotrichaceae. The record is from RNAcentral.
GACAGCUGAAUGAUAGUCGGGCUGAAGACUCUACUUGACUAGCUGAGAGGUGGUGCAUGGCCGUCGUCAGUUCGUACUGUGAAGCAUCCUGUUAAGUCAGGCAACGAGCGAGACCCACGUCCACAGUUGCCAGCAUACCCUCCGGGGUGAUGGGUACACUGUGGAGACCGCCGCUGCGUAAAGCGGAGGAAGGAAUGGGCAACGGUAGGUCAGUAUGCCCCGAAUCUCCCGGGCUACACGCGGGCUACAAUGGUUGGUACAAUGGGCAUCUACCCCGAAAGGGGAAGGAAAUCUCUUAAAGCCAAUCGUAGUUCGGAUUGAGGGCUGCAACUCGCCCUCAUGAAGCUGGAAUCCGUAGUAAUCGCGUUUCAACAGAACGCGGUGAAUACGUCCCUGCUCCUU